AUUCAGGGGCUAUUAGCUUUCUCUCUCUGUCUCUCUCUGUCUCUCUCUCUCUCUGUCUGGAUGUAACCUGGAGGGAGUGACUGCCAAGUCCUGAGGUCUCUGAUCGAGUUGCUGUCCUUGUUGCCCCUGUUGCUAUAAUUGUUGCUGUGUUUCCUAGAAAGAAGAUCCUGUGAACCUGAUGCUCACUUGAACCAGCACCCAGCUUUCUGCAUUAUCAAGAAGUCAGAGAAGGAAGAUGACACUUUGGCCUGAUGCACUGGCAGAAACAUUCAAUUCAGAAACAAAUACCCUACAGUGAAAUACAGCUUGCUGCUCACCAGGAAUCUUAUCACCUGCCAGAAGAGAGGCUGAGAAGCAGUGCAGAAUAUCGGAUAAAGGGCCCAAUCUGAAGUCAGGAAAAUCUGGGUUCAUUUCCUGUCUCUGACAGUUACAAGCUGUGUGACUGUCCCCAAGAACAGAUUUCCCUCAAAUAAAAUAAUGAUCUAUACUGUGUUUAGGUAGUCUGACUGUUGAAAGGUUUUCUUUCAACAAGAUUCUUUCCUCUCACUAGAGAACUUUUAUAAACAACAUAUCCACUUGGUGUCACAAAGUUGUCCCUGGUUUUUACGCCAAUUAUUUUUCAAUUUAAUGUCAACAUCACAUCUUUCAACAAAUACAUUUCCUCUACACG
Monodelphis domestica (gray short-tailed opossum) is the source of this 670-nucleotide long non-coding RNA. RefSeq lists it as uncharacterized. NCBI's taxonomy places the organism in Eukaryota, Metazoa, Chordata, Mammalia, Didelphimorphia, Didelphidae. The record is from RefSeq and is a predicted model, not a curated record.